UGGUUUUAAGGAGUUGAAUUGAAGCCUGUCGUUGAAAGCUAUUCAGGAAAUAUUAAAUAAUUAGCAUAGGAUCUUUUGCUUAUCUGCAUCAGAACAUGUACACAUAUAAUGGUAAAUGAUAAAUAAUUUGGCUGAUAUCUGAAAAGGUCAAGUCCAAAACCCUAAUCCAGGGGAGAGUCUUGGCAUUUUGGUCUAUGGGGAAUAUGGCUUCACUUAACUCUGAAAUCUUGGACUCUUAAUGAUUGGGAGUUAGUUUAUUGCUUAUGUGAUAGGUAUCAGUGUAUAUAUGAGAUUUACCUGAUAAUUUCUACGUAUACAAUUUAUAUUGUAUUAGUGUUUCUUGAAAGGGAACAAAUGGAAUAGAAAUAGUUAAGAAAAGUAGGAAACUCCCACAUCUUUGUACAAUGAGGAGAUCUGGUUCAUAUAGAUAAGGUUUAAAAAAAAAAAAAACAGAAGCAUUCUACAUGUGAAGACUUGGUGAAUGGUCUUUUCCAUCUUUUGUCUCUAAUGGACUUGUGCCCUAAUAGGAAUUGAACAGUUGUCCAAUAUAAUUGUUCAUUUUACAGAUUAGCCAGAGUCACUUAACAAAGUGAGAUAACCAGAGGCCAGAUUUGAAUCCAGGAAGAUGACCCUGACUACCAGGACUGGCACCACUCGUUUGCCAAUAGAUAAUACCAUUUGAAAUACACAUUGCAGUGAUGGUACAGAGACACAAAGGACAGUUUUUGUCCUCACAGAGCUGGAGCUGGGGUCCAGGCUCCAAGCACAAAUUUGGGGUUAUCUAUUUAGAAAUGUAGUUGAAGCUAUGGAAGGUCAUGAGGUAGUGCCUUCUCUUAUCUCUCCAGCCAAAAUACAGAAGUUUGGGACCAAAAUGAAGCAAAGAGCCCAAGAAGCAAUGGUGAUACCAAGGAAGAGCUAGGAGAAGGGGCACAGGGUCAGGAAAGAGAUGGCUCAAGCCAAACAUUGCUGAGACCACUUGUUUAAUAUUUCUAGGGGGUCUUUAAUCUCAAAGACACUUCGCAUUCUCUCCCAUGUUAUAAUUCAGAUUUUAUUCACUCCCCUUAUUCCUCUAUAAUUAUCAUGUAUGUUGUCAAAAUCAAACUGAAGGAUGAAGGAAUUUGUCAAACACUGUUUAUUCCACUAGUGAAGAUUUCUUUCACCAGAGAGGCUUCCUCAUCAACUAAUCAAAAACUAAUAAAAAUGUUUUUAGAGAA
Long non-coding RNA from Antechinus flavipes (yellow-footed antechinus), 1214 nucleotides. RefSeq lists it as uncharacterized. The record is from RefSeq and is a predicted model, not a curated record. The transcript is spliced from 2 exons. Lineage: Eukaryota; Metazoa; Chordata; Mammalia; Dasyuromorphia; Dasyuridae.